This 253-nucleotide ribosomal RNA is filed under the name uncultured bacterium. Its description in RNAcentral is "partial 16S ribosomal RNA". It matches the Rfam family "Bacterial small subunit ribosomal RNA", at positions 524 to 776 of the family's 1533-position model. The record is from RNAcentral.
UACGAAGGGGGCUAGCGUUGUUCGGAAUUACUGGGCGUAAAGGGCGCGCAGGCGGCUCUUCAAGUCAGAUGUGAAAGCCCCGGGCUCAACCUGGGAACUGCAUUUGAGAUUGGAGAGCUUGAGUUCGGGAGAGGAGAGCGGAAUUCCCAGUGUAGAGGUGAAAUUCGUAGAUAUUGGGAAGAACACCGGUGGCGAAGGCGGCUCUCUGGACCGAUACUGACGCUGAGGCGCGAAAGCGUGGGGAGCAAACAGG